This is a long non-coding RNA of Amblyraja radiata (thorny skate), 968 nucleotides long. RefSeq lists it as uncharacterized. The transcript has 2 exons. The record is from RefSeq and is a predicted model, not a curated record. Lineage: Eukaryota; Metazoa; Chordata; Chondrichthyes; Rajiformes; Rajidae.
UCAAACAGCAUCUCUGGAGUAAAAGGGUUUGGGUCAAGACCUCUCUCCAGACAUGAGAGUCCCAGACUGAGAAGUAGAGGAGUGGAGCCGUAUCUGACCUCUCGCCAACCCUUCCCCCUCAACCAACAACCUGCAACAGAGGUGGUCAUUUGGCCUCACAGCUGUUCGAGAGAGCCUGCUGUGUGCAAAUUUGAAUGCCAAGUUUCCUGUGGUGCUUAUAGUGGCUUGUUUUCAAAAGUACUUGGUUUGCUGUUAAGCGCUUUGGGAUAUGCUGAGGUCAUGUAUGCAAUUAAGAGCCUACCCUUGCCUUGUACACCCACACUUUGUGUACAUGGUGUAAAGAAGACAAAACAGCCUGCAAUUCUGUUGCAAGGUACAAACACACACACACACACACACACACAAGUGCACACAAACAGGUGUACAUGCACACACGCGGGAAAUGUUCUCCUGUCCAAAGGAUCGUAGGCAUAGGACUAGCGGAGUUCGCCUGCUCUGCUGCCGAGUCCAUCAACCGCUCCAGUCAAACACCAUUCAUAGGCACCCAAGUUUCACAUAGGAAACACUUAAAUCAUCUCUGAAACUGCACUCACAUCAACCAGGCACUCUCCACACUACGGACAUCUUUAUACCGAAAGAUCUAGCAGAAGUUUUAAAAAGUAUAAAUUGCAUAUCCCAGUACAUUUCUCACAUUCUUUUCUUUUUUUUUUGCUAGGUUGACUUCCAGCCAACUCCAGGUGAGGAGGUCACAUUGUCACUCGCUGCACCUCCUUAAUCUUCCGACGCGACGCAACGAAUCGUGGACGCAAAACUGUGACAAGCAAGUAAACCCUCAUGUUUCGGUACAGAAAGAGUGCGUGUGUGUGGAGAGAGGGAGAGAGGGAGAGAGGGAGAGAGGGAGAGAGGGAGAGAGGUGAUGCAGGAGGAUUGCCUUUUAUGCAGUUUAAAGCUGUUGUGCAUAGUCCCAG